This is a non-coding RNA of Ciona savignyi (Pacific transparent sea squirt), 124 nucleotides long. NCBI's taxonomy places the organism in Eukaryota, Metazoa, Chordata, Ascidiacea, Phlebobranchia, Cionidae. The record is from Rfam.
AUCGCUUCUCGGCUCUUUUGAGCUAAGAUCAAGUGUAGUAUCUGUUCUUCUCAGUUUAAUACCUGGGACGGAAACGAUUCGUUUCCUCUAUGUAUAAUCGGAUUUUGAUACUUGGAGUAUGGUG